GCCGCGGUGCUGGAAUUGGUUUACAGGAGCGACUUAAAAUCGCUUGGGAAUUUUCCCAUGUGGGUUCGAGUCCCACCCGCGGCA
RNAcentral lists this transfer RNA (84 nucleotides) under Candidatus Nealsoniibacteriota bacterium. RNAcentral's name for it is "Candidatus Nealsonbacteria bacterium tRNA-Leu". It matches the Rfam family "tRNA". From Rfam's summary of the family: Transfer RNA (tRNA) molecules are approximately 80 nucleotides in length. Their secondary structure includes four short double-helical elements and three loops (D, anti-codon, and T loops). The record is from RNAcentral. Lineage: Bacteria; Candidatus Nealsoniibacteriota.